AGAAUCAACGCUGGCGGCGUGCCUAACACAUGCAAGUCGAACGCGAAAGCCCCGCAAGGGGUAAGUAGAGUGGCAAACGGGUGAGUAACACGUGGGUGACCUGCCUUCGAGUGGGGGAUAACGUCCCGAAAGGGACGCUAAUACCGCAUAACAUCCUGCCUUUGAAGAGGUGGAGAUCAAAGCUGGGGACCGCAAGGCCUGGCGUUUGAAGAGGGGCCCGCGCCUGAUUAGCUAGUUGGUGGGGUAAUGGCUCACCAAGGCAACGAUCAGUA
RNAcentral lists this ribosomal RNA (272 nucleotides) under uncultured bacterium. RNAcentral's name for it is "partial small subunit ribosomal RNA". It matches the Rfam family "Bacterial small subunit ribosomal RNA", at positions 26 to 285 of the family's 1533-position model. The record is from RNAcentral.